RNAcentral lists this ribosomal RNA (154 nucleotides) under Begonia chitoensis. RNAcentral's name for it is "5.8S ribosomal RNA". It matches the Rfam family "5.8S ribosomal RNA". Rfam says of the family: 5.8S ribosomal RNA (5.8S rRNA) is a component of the large subunit of the eukaryotic ribosome. It is transcribed by RNA polymerase I as part of the 45S precursor that also contains 18S and 28S rRNA. Functionally, it is thought that 5.8S rRNA may be involved in ribosome translocation. Lineage: Eukaryota; Viridiplantae; Streptophyta; Magnoliopsida; Cucurbitales; Begoniaceae. The record is from RNAcentral.
CUCGACAAUGGAUAUCUCGGCUCUCGCAUCGAUGAAGAACGUAGUGAAAUGCGAUACUUGGUGUGAAUUGUAGAAUCUCGUGAACCAUCAAGUAUUUGAACGCAAGUUGCGCCCGAAGCCUUCUAACUGAGGGCACGUCUUCUUGGGAAUCACG